AGUGGUGGUGGUGGUGGUGGUGACAGUGACAAUAGAUACGAUGAUUGUAAAAGCUUUUGGUAAUAUGGAAGUGUGUGUGGGUGGGUGUGUGUGCACGCGUGUGCGUGUUGAAGUAAAUAAAGUAACUGUCAUUACAUAAAUUUUUGUAUGUAGUAGGCAAUAUGUUAAAAAAGCAAUAACGCACUCGCAUAACAUUACAAUAUAUUUGCUUUGUUCAACCAAACGAAGUAAAGAAUCAUAUAACAUAGUAGUGAUUGCAUUGGAGGUUUCAUUAUGUUCUAUCAUAAAUAGCCUAAAGGUAAUUUGAUUAAUAUAAUUAAUAAAACGAUGUCAGUCAGUCUUCACUGUUCUGAUUUUGAAACAACUCUAUGUAGAUGUGCAGAUGUGCCCAAUGGGCCGACUGGCCCUGGGAACCGGAGCCACAAGGCCCCCAAUUCAAGUCCCGUUUCCGGUUCCAUUUCAAUUUUACCAAAUCCAACAAUUGAAAUUAUUUUCAAAUUUUGCGUUUA
RNAcentral lists this unclassified non-coding RNA (509 nucleotides) under Hevea brasiliensis (rubber tree). Lineage: Eukaryota; Viridiplantae; Streptophyta; Magnoliopsida; Malpighiales; Euphorbiaceae. The record is from RNAcentral.